CCUACGGGAGGCAGCAGUAGGGAAUAUUGCUCAAUGGGGGAAACCCUGAAGCAGCAACGCCGCGUGGAGGAUGAAGGUUUUAGGAAUGUAAACUCCUUUUGUGAGAGAAGAUAAUGACGGUACCUGAAGAAUAAGCACCGGCUAACUCCGGGCCAGCAGCCGCGGUAAUACGGAGGGUGCAAGCGUUACUCGGAAUCACUGGGAGUAAAGAGUGCGCAGGCGGGCUUGUAAGUCAGAUGUGAAAUCCUGUAGCUUAACUACAGAACUGCAUUUGAAACUAUGAGUAUAGAGUGUGGGAGAGGUAGGUGGAAUUCUUGGUGUAGGGGUAAAAGCCGUAGAUAUCAAGAGGAAUACUCAUUGCGAAGGCGACCUACUGGAACAUUACUGACGCUCAUGCACGAAAGCGUGGGGAGCAAACAGGAUUAGAUACCCUUGUAGUU
This 440-nucleotide ribosomal RNA is filed under the name uncultured bacterium. RNAcentral describes it as "partial 16S ribosomal RNA". It matches the Rfam family "Bacterial small subunit ribosomal RNA", at positions 338 to 795 of the family's 1533-position model. The record is from RNAcentral.